CUGGACGCAGGCCUCUCCCAUCCCCCACUCAAUGAUCUCGGGCGGUUCUCGCACCUGCACUAGGUAAGCGAGCCUGCCCUGUGCGGGGGGUUUUCUUGCACGUACCGGGGUCUCCCAGCCUCCCCCAGGUUUCCCUCUUUAUCCAUGACCCCCGCUGGGACUGCUUCCACCACCUGGGCCUCCUGCAUCCCAUCAGUAACAGGUUCUUCACGGUGUGAGAGCUCCCAUCCCUGUGCAUGUUUACUACGUGGGGUUUGAGAGGCGACAAACUAAAUUUCAAAAACCAUCAGCACUGAAGAUGCUAUUAACUUACAGCGAACUUACUCUUCAUCUCCUGCCCCCUUCACCCUCGUUGGAGUCUGACCUUCCCUCUGUCCCCGUGCGCGCCAGCUCGGUGCACCUGUGGCGGGGGUGGCGGGCCAGCCCCAAGGCUAUAUGGAUUCUGUUCUUAGGUUCCGCAGAAGGUUAAGUCCUGUCUUUCAACUGCAGGCUACAGGCUGGCAAAGCCAAAGGAGCAAUCCGAAUAGCACCCUCUGUUAGGCGGCAACGAAUUUUAUAACGUUUAAAUGAUCCCUAACGACUUUGGGGGAGAAAAAUCCAAGGUAGCACCCUCAGCACAGUGGAGUAGAAUUUCCUGGGAUGACAGAAAUCGUCUGUGUGUCCUGUUCAAUACAGUAGCCACUAACGAUGGUGCUGGAACCUUGGCAUUGUGGCUGGUGUGACUGAGAAACUGAAUUGUUCGUUUCAUUUUCUUUAAAUUUUAAAGCCCACAUUUGGCUGGUGGCCGCCAUAUUGGUCAGCAUUAACAGGAUCUACAGUGUGGAUGAACCUGAAGACAUGAUGCUAAACAAUAGGAGGCCAUCACAAAAGGACAAACACCAUAGGCGGCCCGCCCAAGAGGACAGUCUUCAUUGGUUGGAUUGGCCUACGGAAAUAGUGAAUGGCUGCGCCAACCGGGGAGCAGAGAGAUUCAGGUGUAACUUGAAGACGUCCGAUGAAAGACUGCAUGAAGUACCUAACCCUCAGUCUGAUCACGUGGAAGAGGUGGGAGCUGUUAGAUUAUAGAGUGAAGCUCUGAAACAAGAGCUUAUGUACGAAGACAGUCCACUGAGAAGCCCAAAUAGUGUGACUCUCCAUAAGCAUAAGAAGUUAUUCUACCGCCGUCUUAAUAUCCUCAAUCAUUUGCGUUAGUGAAAAUGAAGAUACACUCAACGAUGUUAUCCAAAGAAUGAAUGAGGUUAACUGAAUAUGACCAACCUGUAGACGUUGCUGAUUGCUGGACUGCACACAAUAGCCAUGUGUUCUGCAUAUUGUUUUCUAAGGGGCUGUGAAUUGCAGUUUUGAUUAACUGUACUAAUUCUCAGACUUAGACUCAAACUAGGAGCUAUGUAGUUCUUAGACCCUUUCAUGUCCUUUAUAAGCCUUCUUUGGAGGUCUCGAAAUGACUUGCAAAAACUGAAAUUAGUUUUCUUUCUAAUCCCCUAGAGAUCAAUGCGGUGAAUUUCAUCAUGCCAUGAUGAUUAAACAUGCUGAAAUGAGUCAUGAUAUAAUUAGGAAUUUCUUUGUCCAAAUCAAGCCCCAUGAACUAUACCUAAC
RNAcentral lists this long non-coding RNA (1596 nucleotides) under Sus scrofa (pig). Its description in RNAcentral is "lncRNA (ENSSSCG00040062668.1)". The record is from RNAcentral. Lineage: Eukaryota; Metazoa; Chordata; Mammalia; Artiodactyla; Suidae.